This 460-nucleotide ribosomal RNA is filed under the name uncultured bacterium. Its description in RNAcentral is "partial 16S ribosomal RNA". It matches the Rfam family "Bacterial small subunit ribosomal RNA", at positions 338 to 795 of the family's 1533-position model. The record is from RNAcentral.
CCUACGGGAGGCUGCAGUGAGGAAUAUUGGUCAAUGGCCGGAAGGCUGAACCAGCCAUGCCGCGUGAAGGUCAGUGCCCUAUGGGCGUUAAACUUCUUUUGUGCGGGAGCAAUAAUGGUCACGUGUGGCCAGACGAGAGUACCGUACGACUAAGCAUCGGCUAACUCCGUGCCAGCAGCCGCGGUAAUACGGGGGAUGCAAGCGUUAUCCGGAUUUAUUGGGUUUAAAGGGUGCGUAGGCUGUGAGGUAAGUCAGCGAGGAAAUGCCCCCGCGCAACGGGGUGAAGUGCCAUUGAUACUGCCUUGCUGGAAUGCGGAUGCCGUGGGAGGAAUGUGUGGUGUAGCGGUGAAAUGCAUAGAUAUCACACAGAACACCGAUUGCGAAGGCAUCUCACGAAUCCGCGAUUGACGCUGAUGCAAGAAAGCGUGGGUAUCAAACAGGAUUAGAUACCCUAGUAGUC